UGCUGCAAAAUGAACUGUUCCUGUUGUUCCUGCAAUGGCACGUGCUCAAGUAAAUCCUCGGCCGGUAUAUUCGCUUCCACGAUUUGGCCUUUUUUCGAUCCAGUUGUGUACGAUUCACUGCGACAACUGAUCAAGGAUUCGCACACCAAGAGUGAAAUUAGCAUUCUACAGAGUCUGGAGCUGAACUUUGUGAAAUCAACGUGUUCGAUUACGUGCGGAAAUAUGCCGAGUAUCGUAUGAUCAAGACGCAAGAGAAGGCUUUGGAUGUAAGUAUCUUCCUGAUGCGGGACCAUACGCUCGGGAGUGUUAGAAGUGUUACCGGACACAGCACUGGAUCAACUGACGGCGGAAGACUUGAGACUACUGUUGAAUGGCGUCGGAGACAUCCACGUUGAUACACUGAUCUGAUACACUUCGUUCAAUAAUGAAUCGAUCAAAAGCAGCAACAAUUUGCUGAAAUUUAAACGAUGGCUCUGAAGUUUAGUGGAGAAGAUAAGCAACGUGGAGCGACAGGAUUUGGUCAACUUCUGGACAGGAUCGCCAGCCCUGCCAGCCUCUGAGCAUGGUUUCCAACUGAUGCCAUUGGUUACGAUCCGACCGGCGGACGAUGCCCAUCUCCCGACUGCAAACACUUGCAUCUCCCGGCUAUACAUCCCGCUCUACUUGAGCAAGGCCGUUCUCCGACACAAGCUGCUAUUGGUGAUUGAAACGAAAAACUUUGGAUUAGUUUAGAUUAUAAUCACCCUAC
Molecule: long non-coding RNA, 748 nt
Organism: Ochlerotatus camptorhynchus
Lineage: Eukaryota; Metazoa; Arthropoda; Insecta; Diptera; Culicidae
Exons: 3
Source: RefSeq, a predicted model, not a curated record